Molecule: long non-coding RNA, 5934 nt
Filed under: Homo sapiens (human)
Lineage: Eukaryota; Metazoa; Chordata; Mammalia; Primates; Hominidae
Description: HSALNT0295170
Source: RNAcentral
AGUCAUACCUUUCUGCUCUUGUCAGACAAUUAAGGGGUCUUUGAAUACUUCAGCCCUAAUAAUUUGCUUCCUAACAUACAUAUUGCAGUGCUUACCUAAUUUUAAAUAUUCUUUUGUUUCAACACCUAAUUUUCUAUUUUGAUCUAUCUUUAUGUUUACAAUAUAUUUUGCUCUGUGUUCAUUCUUUGAUUUCAGAACUUCAAUCUUUCUGAAGCGUGUUUUCAGAGUUUCCUUUGAGUUUCUUUAGUGGAAUUCUGCUGGUGGUGUUUUGUUUUUUGUCUCUAAAUAUGUGAUUUAGCCAUAGGUUGAUGAAUAUUUUUCUUGGUUGAGAAUUUCAGAAUGGCAUUAUUAUUCUUAACAAAUAAUAUUGUUUAUUUUACCUUUCAUGCUUUCAGAUUUCAAUAUGAUUAAAGGUAAUUUGAUUUUUCUAGUGCUAAUUGAAAUAUUUUUCCCUUCCUGAUUGUUUACUAUUUCUCUAGGAGAUAUGUAGAUGUAGGUUUAUCUCCAUCGUAGCUUGCUUAGCAUGCAUAGAAGUUUUGAAUAUGUGGAUUAGUGUCUUACAGAACUCUAGAGAACUUUCAGCCAAAAUACCAUCACAUAUUGUCCCUUCCCCGUUCCCUUCCUCUAUGAGAACACUCACUAAACACAUGCUACACUUUCUCACUGUAUCUUCCAUGUCUCUUCAUGAUUCUGUCCACAUUGUGCCUUUUUUUAAAUUUUCUGUAAUGCAUUCUGAAAUAUUUAUGAGCUCUCACCAUGGCCAUGUCUAAUCUGAUGAGUUCAUUUUUGAGUUUUUAAUUUAAAAUACUAUAUACAAACUACUUUUCAAAUUUACUACAUCAACUUUUUAGUCUCCUAAAAAUAUAUUCCUUUUUUUAAAUUUUUUGAAAGCAAAUGUGCUUUAUAAUCUAACAGUGAUAUUUCUACUAAUGAACCUCUGUGGAUCUGUUUGUACUCUUUUUCUGCUUUCCUUUCAAAUGGUGGAAUAUCAUUUCCUUGCGUACUUAGAUGCCUUUGAAUGACAAAGAUUUAUUUUUCUCUGAAAAUUAUUAUUGUGCACUUUUGCAUAUUAGUAAGAAGAAAAUUUGCCAAAGAGAAUUUGAAUUUUUUGUGAGUCUACUAAAGGCACCACCAUUCUGGGACCACAUUAUAUUAAUUCUUGGCCUAAAGGUGUUUGGACGUAUGUUUGGACAGCACAUUUAAACAAUUUUUAAAUUAAUUGCUGUAAAUCAUUAAUGAUUGAGUUUCUUUAAAUCUGUCCAAUCUCAAGUCAUUUUUAUUUGCCAUUUCCAGGGAAUGUGAAAUGAGACUAAUUUACCUCUGAUUCUUCUUUAUACUGAGGAGAUAAAUUUUGGUGCUAGCUUUAGGGAAGAGCUCCUGUGUGAUGCCCUAUCUUGGGAAACACUAUGUAUUUCUUUACUGUCCUAUGUGAUGUAUGACCAUAGGAAUCUGCACUCAUUCAUUUUGCUACAUGUCCGUAGGGCAAAAUCAGUAUCAGUGUUUAGGUGUAUUUUGUCUGCUCCCUGCAUUCCCAUGGUUUUAACCUUAUCUUUUACUUUUUUUUGUGAACAUACCAAUGCUUCAAUUUUUUUCCAGUAAUAUAAUCAACUAUACUAUAAGAGAAAAAUUUCGAUAAAACACAAAUUUCAUGUUUUCCUACUCUAAUUGGCUUUUACGUAAAAAAUACAGGUAAAAUUUAUUUGUGCUUUUUUGCUAUUUCUGUUUUGCUAUUUUCUGUUUGUCUAUGUCUUCACCACAUAGACACAAUUAGGGAAUUUUGUACACUCUUGUGCCAACUGCUUUGACAGUAACAAAAUGUAUUUCUCGAACUCCUAGGUAUAAAACUCAAGUAUCCACUAUUUAAAUUCUUUUUUGCUCACUUCUAGUAUGUUUCCAGUCUCAAUAGAAAUCGAUGCCAAUCCAGAAAUACAAGCAUUAUUCUAAUACUUCUCACACAUUACUGGUAUGGAUGACAUUUUCUAGAUCUCCUUAAAUACUAUCAUUUUUCACUACUUGUAUCUUAACUGUUAAGUUCAACAUUUUCUGUAAUAUUAAUAUAUUGUGAAAAUUUCCUUUCUUUCUUAUUUGUCCCAGGUUCAAUGUUUUGCAGUCUCUACCUCACCCUGUGAAGCAUAAACAUUGUACAUGCUGUACAAAUAAUACAUCGUUCAUGUACUUAGAGAUUGCACAAUUUUUAUUUGGUUGACAAUAGCUAAUGUUUUCUUCUUCAUUUUCUAUUUCCUGAUUUUUCUUUAUUUAGUAUAUACUACACUGCCAUAAAAAUAAGAACGUUUUACAAACUAAAGCAAAAGGAACCCUAGGAAUAAAAUGCACAAAUAAAAUAUAUAAACAUACGUUUAGGUGUACCACGUACACUUGUAAUUUAUUUAGACUUUUAAUUUUAGUACAAUUUUAAUUAAAGUCUGUGUAUUAUCUGUCAUCGUCUUAGUAUUUUUUAUAUAACAAAUUGUGUAAAUCAAAAAGUAUCAAUGUCAUUGUAAACUAUCUUGGCAGAGGUUGAUCUCCAAGGAAUAAUUUCUCUCCUAAAUUAUGCCAAUCCAAAUUUCACUCUACCGUCAUUCUUUUCAUCAGUUUCAGAGGAAUAAUAAAUUUCAAAAUUGUUCAAGGUACUUCUUUUAGUUCAAGUAACAUUUGACAGGUGUAAAACUGUAGACAGACUGAUACAAACGUAUUCUAAUUGACUCAAAAUUAUAUGGGACCUAUUUUAAAAUCUAGAUUUUAAAAUGUCGUGUCAACAUACACAUGUUCUCCUUGUGAAAUAAUUGUUUUUUAUUCUCUGGAUAGAAUAAUUUAAUCUUUAAACCUUCCAUUCACUCUUAGAAACAAUAUAUUACAUAAGGAUAUGCUUAUAAAAAUAAUUCCCAACUAGCUUUUCAGUUCAGAAAUAUAUGUGAAGAAUCAUCAAACAUCUAAUGGAUUUCAAGGAGAAAUGGGUUAGUAAUUUAUUCCAUAUGUCUCAAUUUUUCCUAGACUCAAGGCUUCCUUUAAAAUAAUUGUAGGCAUUUAAGAAACCAUGCAAACUAAAAAGAAGAAACUGUGACGCUGCCGCUUAGGCUUUUUAAGUCUUUGGACAUGAUUCAAUAUAUUUUUUAAAUUGUAUCUUAAUUAGACAUUGUGAGUUCACCAUCUUCCUGUCAAUACAGCAUCCAAGCUGAUUAUCAUAGAUUACAAGUUCAACUAUCAACUGUGUUCUGAGAGUCUAAAAAAAUAAAUGAACGUAUUUGUUUGGGUAUUCUUAAAGCAGGAGUGAGGACACAGCGAAAGUGAGACAAGGAAAAGAGAACAAAAUAAAACAGGAAAGACAGAAAAGCCAAUACCACACGUGUUAAGAGUUUCAAGGAAAAUAUGUUUGGAGUUCCUGGCAUAGAGAAUGUCACAAAGACAUGUUUUCAAUAGUAGUGCUAUCCCGAGCGCAGAGAAGACCCAAAGAAAGCCCAAGUGGCUGCUGGAACAAAAUCAGACACCGUGCCACCUGUCCACACUCCUUGGCUCUGCCAUCAUGCUGAAGAUCGCUUUAAAGGACUGGCUUCCCUCCCCCCAAAAUUAAAAGAGCACAGACUGAGAAACUGAAUGUGGGAGACAGCAGUGGAUUAUGCUGUUCUCAGGGGUCACCUCAGGUUUGGAAGCAUUCUUUCAAAUUAACCCAUCUCAGGCCAUCUGCAGAGAAGAAAGGUGGUACCUAACUUUUUUUCUUGUCGGCAUUUGGUAGGGGUGUUUUAUUGACCAAAUAUGUUCCCACAACCUCGUUUUUUGUGACUAACUAAAUAUAGUAGAGUUUUAAAUUUUAUCAUCAAAAUCUAUAGACAAUUUUUGAUGAAAAUAGACUCCAUCUCUAUGUCCUGCUUUUCUUCUUCUUAUUAAUUACAUUGCUGUAUAAAAGAACAAGACUUCAGCAUCAAGAAUAUCUUGUCUCUUGGCAUUGAAUUUAUACAAGGUGCUCUUUCUUUAAUGCUGUCUCAAAGGACAUAUUUUUACUCAUUAAAAAGGAAGAUCGGAAUCUAGUUGUAUGCACUGCUCCAACAUAUUAAUAAUUAAAAUUAGGAGGUAAAUGUGGUCAAAGCUAUAGAAAGACUGAGAUGUCAUUUACAUCGAUUACUCUAUAGCACUCUACAAACAGAAAUUGUUAAAUAAUAGUUUAUAUAAAUAUUUUGUAGCAUUUCAAAUAUUUGAGUGCUUGAAGUUUCUCCUCUUUUAUAGUUCAGAUUAUCAAUUUGAAGACUUACUCCGCUAGUUAAUAUGUUUUUAGUCUCGUUUGAGUAUUAUAUAAAAGCAAUUUUCAGUUAAAUGUGUUCCGCUUACAUAAAACGUUACAAAUUAUUGAGGAUUUAAUUACUUAUUCAUGUUCCUGUAAUGUCUUUAGAAGAUUUUCUUAUUAUUACCUAUCAAUAUAUGUAUGCUUUGUCAAAGAAAAAUCAAACAUAUAUAUCAUUGAAAUUGAAACUUUUUAAAAGUACUUAUUAAUUCUAUUGAAAAACCACAUCCAUAGGAACAAUUACAAUAUAAUAUUGUGAACAUGUAAACAUAUACCCUAUGUCUAUUUUAUGUAUAAGCAUGUAUGAUUAAAAAUAUAGUGAAGAAUUUUUAAACCUAGUAUUAUAAAGUAAAAAUUAGUUAACUUCCGAUGAUUAUUUGUUAAUUAAGAUAAAAUUAUUUUGAUUUGGGUGAUUUUAAAUAAAGAAAAAUAUUAAAUUACAUGACAAAAAUUCUUUAUAAAAUGUUUAUGAUUUUUACAUUGGUUUUAUCACUUUUCCCACUAUUUUAUUUUAAGAUGACCUGCCUUGUUUAAAACACUGUAUUCAUCUUAGUUAAAUUAGAUUCCAUUUGUAAAAUAAUUAACAAAUGAUUUGCUCUAUUGUACAGUGCGGUUAUAAACUGAGUCAGUAUCUCAAGAUUUGAUCCCCAUUAUCAUCAUCUGUGGCCCUAUUUGUUUUAUAAAUGUAUUGUCUUUUUCCAUGCCUGUCACAUCUCUAUUGCUCUUUCAUUUUUCUCUUUGUCCCUUAUAGGGAGCAUUGCCUAUCUCUAGAUUAAGCAAAAGUUGCAUCAUAAAAAAGCACAAUAACCUGCUCAAUCUUUCUCACACAGAGAAAUGUUUGUUAAGUAAUUAAAGUGUAGAUGAUGAUACAAAGAGCUUGAUUAAAUUAGAUGCCAAAGUACCCUUGUGAUUCAGAAUAUGAAUGGUAUUUAAUUUCUUUGAAAUCAUUAAUUGCUGAGUGAGAUUAAUUAAUGCCAAUAUUCCAGAAGAUGUUCCAGUCAGUAAAAUGUAUACAACGUGCAAAAGAUUCAGAACUCUGAAGGGCAACAUUAUUCUAUAAUUAAGAAUUAAGAAUUAAUUCACAUUAAUUACUGGGGAGAAAUACUUUUUAAGAAUUAAUGACUGAGAAAAUGUUUUUAUUUUUUAUUUAGAAAAUUAUUUUGUGCAUGAGCAUUACCGCAAGUUUUGCAAGAAACAUAAAUUUAAAGAAACAAUUAUGUGCACAAGAUGAAUUUAAUAACAUCUUGAUAUAUUCCACGAUUGCGGUUUUAUUUGGUAAAUCUUUCAAGGCACACCAUUUAAAGAGAAUAAAUGAGUCUUGGAAAUCUUGUAGGUAAGGGUAAAUAUUAGGAUGCAUCCAGUUACAUUUACACACACAUACAGUUACAUUUACACACACAUACACGCAUACAGACUGAGUCACGUGUGUGUAUAUAUAUAUAUGAAUUUACCAAUUGAUGUUAACUAAUAUUUAUAAGAGCCAGUUGGAUUGAUAUAUAUUGUUGAACCUGAAAAAUAUUUAUUAUAUACAUGUUUAAAAUACAGAAAUAAAUAGCAAUUGCACUAGGCAUUUGAAACUGUACUAAAAUAUAAGCUGUGAACAUUUUGUGAUCAUUACAAAUUCUUACACUGAAUAAAUAUUUUUAUUUUUACAAUAUUAA